Molecule: ribosomal RNA, 385 nt
Filed under: uncultured bacterium
Lineage: Bacteria
Description: bacterial SSU rRNA
Rfam family: Bacterial small subunit ribosomal RNA
Source: RNAcentral
AUUGAACGCUGGCGGCAUGCCUUACACAUGCAAGUCGAACGGCAGCACGGGGCAACCUGGUGGCGAGUGGCGAACGGGUAAGUAAUGCAUCGGAACGUGCCAUUGAGUGGGGGAUAACGUAGCGAAAGUUGCGCUAAUACCGCAUAUUCUGUGAGCAGGAAAGCAGGGGACCGCAAGGCCUUGCGCUCUUUGAGCGGCCGAUGUCAGAUUAGCUAGUUGGUGAGGUAACGGCUUACCAAGGCGACGAUCUGUAGCGGGUCUGAGAGGAUGAUCCGCCACACUGGAACUGAGACACGGUCCAGACUCCUACGGGAGGCAGCAGUGGGGAAUUUUGGACAAUGGGCGAAAGCCUGAUCCAGCCAUGCCGCGUGAGUGAAGAAGGCCU